Molecule: ribosomal RNA, 253 nt
Filed under: uncultured bacterium
Lineage: Bacteria
Description: partial 16S ribosomal RNA
Rfam family: Bacterial small subunit ribosomal RNA
Source: RNAcentral
UACAGAGGUCUCAACCGUUGUUCGGAUUCAUUGGGCGUAAAGGGUGCGUAGGCGGUCGAGCAAGUCGGAUGUGAAAUCUCAGGGCUCAACCCUGAAACUGCAUUCGAUACUGCGUGGCUAGAGUGCUGGAGGGGAGACUGGAAUUUACGGUGUAGCAGUGAAAUGCGUAGAUAUCGUAAGGAAGACCAGUGGCGAAGGCGAGUCUCUGGACAGCAACUGACGCUGAGGCACGAAGGCCAGGGGAGCAAACGGG